RNAcentral lists this long non-coding RNA (1819 nucleotides) under Mytilus galloprovincialis (Mediterranean mussel). The record is from RNAcentral. Lineage: Eukaryota; Metazoa; Mollusca; Bivalvia; Mytilida; Mytilidae.
GUGAAAUGUUCUUGUUCAUUGUAUAAAAUCAUUGUUUUGGGUUAAUUAAAUUUUUUAGUGUAACAUUUUUUUUUAUGUGAGAAGGGUUGGGACUCUUGAGUUAUAAAGUUUUUGUAUUCAAACCAUUAUCUUACAUUUUGUUUUUUGUUGAUUAAACAUCCACUCUAGUAAUCAAGUAAUCUGCCUGCGCCCCGUUUUUUCAGUUUUUCCAUUCCUCCCACUUUUCUUAUAAAAUCCGUAAAGAAUGUCUCUAUAGGGCUUUGCUCAUUGUUGAAGGCCAUACGGUGACCUAUAGUUGUUAAUGUCUGUGUCAUUUUGGUCUUUUGUGGAUAGUUGUCUCAUUGGCAAUCAUACCACAUCUUCUUUUUUUAUAUUUAUAAUAAGUCAGCAGCUUUACAGUGAUGUAUUGUAACCUGUUUGUCUCUUUUAAAAUCUUUUAGAUACCUAUCUGUGUUUACCAAUACUUAUAUAUAUAUACCCCUGCUUUAAAAGGUGUUAUACCCCCGCUUUAAAAAAGUGGGGGUAUACUGUUUUACAUCUGUCUGUCAUUAUAUCUGUCAGUCCAUCAGUCAGCAUGUCCAUCUGUCCCAUGAAUAUUUUUCGUUGCAUCUUUCUCAGGAACUACAAAACAAGGAUUUCUAAAAUUUGAAUUCAGAAUUCAUAGGCAUCAGCUAUACUGUGUGAUGCGUUUUCAGAAUUAUUAAUUAGCAACUUCCUGUUUACUGAACACAUACAUAAUCUUACACAUGACAUCCAAGUUUAAAAUUUUUCACAUUUUUCUCAGGAACAACUAAAUAAGAAUUUUUGAAAUUUAAUUUCAGGGUGUAUAUAAGUCAGCUAUACCUUGUGAUGGGUUUUCAGAUUCAUCACUCACCAACUUCCUGUUUACCAUCAAGUACUUGGGAGAGGGUAUCAUCAGUGAGCAGUUUCACUUAUUUCAAUAUAUUGAAUAAAUUUUAGUGGCCAUGGUCUACUGGUGUUGCUAUAUAUACUUAGAUUGUUUAGUUUUUAUACGACCGCAAAAAUUGAAAAUUUGUUGGUCGUAUAUUGGUAUCACGUUGGUGUCGUCGUCCGAAUACUUUUAGUUUUUGCACUCUAACUUUAGUAAAAGUGAAUAGAAAUCUAUGAAUUUUUAACACAAGGUUUAUGACCACAAAAGGAAGGUUGGGAUUAAUUUUGGGAGUUUUGGUCCCAACAUUUUAGGAAUUAGGGGCCAAAAAGGGCCCAAAUAAGCAUUUUCUUGGUUUUCACACUAUAACUUUAGUUUAAGUAAAUAGAAAUCAAUGAAAUUUAAACACAAGGUUUAUGACCACAAAAGGAAGGUUGGGAUUGAUUUUGGGAGUUGAGGUCCCAACAGUUUAGGAAUUAGGGGCCAAAAUAAGCAUUAUUCUUAGUUUUCGCACCAUAACUUUUGUAUAAGUAAAUAGAAAUCUAUGAAAUUUAAACACAAGGUUUAUGACCAUAAAAGGAAGGUUGGGUUUGAUUUUGGGAGUUUUGGUCCCAACAGUUUAGGAAUAAGGGGACCAAAGGGUCCAAAAUUGAACUUUGUUUAAUUUCAUCAAAAAUUGAAUAAUUGGGGUUCUUUGAUAUGCCGAAUCUAACUGUGUAUGUAAAUUCUUAAUUUUUGGUCCCGUUUUCAAAUUGGUCUACAUUAAAGUCCAAAGGGUCCAAAAUUAAACUUAGUUUGAUUUUAACAAAAAUUGAAUUCUUGGGCUUCUUUGAUAUGCUGAAUCUAAACAUAUACUUAGAUUUUUGAUUAUGGGCCCAGUUUUCAAGUUGGUUCAAAUCAGAAUCCAAAAUUAUUAUAUUAAGUAUUGUG